AAGAUUGCGUAGUUUGGGCCGUACCCCAUCAGAGAAGCGCCAAUCAUGAAGAUCACCGAUGCUAAAACAAUCGUGUACCGGCGACCAAUUAUGUCGGAGGUUCUUCCUGCCGUCAACGAUCCCACCAGUGCGCACAGAGUGAUAGAAAAGAAAGAAGAACUUACCAUAACCAAAGAUGAUAGAUAUAAUGGAGCCAACAAUAGCACAUGCCAAAGCAUAUUUAUUGACUUUGUUAUGAGUUCCAGUAGUGGCUCCUCCAUCCAAACCCACCAUUGUCAUCUCCAUUUUGAUGGUAUCUUCUUCUCCGAUCAAUGUUUAUGUUCUUAACAAUUAUAUACACUACAGAAAGAAGAAUUGGAGCCCAUAUGAUCCAAAAAGAUAAGAAAUGAAACUAAGGUGGAGGUCACAAAGACAUCGGAUUUUGUGACUGAAUUGAUUGCUUUUUAUUCAAGAAUCGAUGUGUUAUUUCUGUUGAAUAGAUAAGAAUGAUUAAGAACAACUUGAAGAUCAAUGGAAAAAAAAAGAAUGGUGAUGAAUAAUCUGAAUCGAACUGUCUUGGUUUGGUUCUAAAUGUUAUUACUCUUCACCUAUGAAACCCAAUUUUGUUGUGGUUUGUCAUCAAAUCAAACUGCUUUUAGUUUCACAAAAUUGAAGACAAAAAUGGUCAUGUUUGUUUGAGUUCCAGUCCUGACUUCCAGCAUGUUGAUUGGAUACUCCCUAAAAUCGGGAUGGUGGUUUUGUUUUUCUUUGUUUUGGAUCUAUGUAUCAAUCAAUUAACGUUUCCUUA
Molecule: long non-coding RNA, 787 nt
Organism: Cucumis sativus (cucumber)
Lineage: Eukaryota; Viridiplantae; Streptophyta; Magnoliopsida; Cucurbitales; Cucurbitaceae
Exons: 2
Source: RefSeq, a predicted model, not a curated record